This 393-nucleotide ribosomal RNA is filed under the name uncultured bacterium. Its description in RNAcentral is "partial 16S ribosomal RNA". It matches the Rfam family "Bacterial small subunit ribosomal RNA", at positions 523 to 918 of the family's 1533-position model. The record is from RNAcentral.
AUACGGAGGAUCCGAGCGUUAUCCGGAUUUAUUGGGUUUAAAGGGAGCGUAGGUGGAUUGUUAAGUCAGUUGUGAAAGUUUGCGGCUCAACCGUAAAAUUGCAGUUGAAACUGGCAGUCUUGAGUACGGUAGAGGUGGGCGGAAUUCGUGGUGUAGCGGUGAAGUGCUUAGAUAUCACGAAGAACUCCGAUUGCGAAGGCAGCUCACUGGACUGCAACUGACACUGAGGCUCGAAAGUGUGGGUAUCAAACAGGAUUAGAUACCCUGGUAGUCCACACAGUAAACGAUGAAUACUCGCUGUUUGCGAUAUACAGCAAGCGGCCAAGCGAAAGCAUUAAGUAUUCCACCUGGGGAGUACGCCGGCAACGGUGAAACUCAAAUGAAUUGACGGGG